Molecule: ribosomal RNA, 253 nt
Filed under: uncultured bacterium
Lineage: Bacteria
Description: partial 16S ribosomal RNA
Rfam family: Bacterial small subunit ribosomal RNA
Source: RNAcentral
UACGUAGGUGGCAAGCGUUGUCCGGAAUUAUUGGGCGUAAAGCGCGCGCAGGCGGUCCCUUAAGUCUGAUGUGAAAGCCCACGGCUCAACCGUGGAGGGUCAUUGGAAACUGGGGGACUUGAGUGCAGGAGAGAAGAGUGGAAUUCCACGUGUAGCGGUGAAAUGCGUAGAGAUGUGGAGGAACACCAGUGGCGAAGGCGACUCUUUGGCCUGUAACUGACGCUGAGGCGCGAAAGCGUGGGGAGCAAACAGG